GGGCGGGUAGCUCAGCCUGUUAGAGCGCCAGCCUUGCAAGCUGGAGGCCGAGGGUUCAAAUCCCUCCCCGUCCA
This 74-nucleotide transfer RNA is filed under the name Nitrososphaerota archaeon. RNAcentral's name for it is "Thaumarchaeota archaeon tRNA-Ala". It matches the Rfam family "tRNA". Rfam says of the family: Transfer RNA (tRNA) molecules are approximately 80 nucleotides in length. Their secondary structure includes four short double-helical elements and three loops (D, anti-codon, and T loops). The record is from RNAcentral. Lineage: Archaea; Thermoproteati; Nitrososphaerota.